Molecule: ribosomal RNA, 253 nt
Filed under: uncultured bacterium
Lineage: Bacteria
Description: partial 16S ribosomal RNA
Rfam family: Bacterial small subunit ribosomal RNA
Source: RNAcentral
UACGUAGGGGGCAAGCGUUGUCCGGAUUUAUUGGGCGUAAAGAGCGUGUAGGCGGCCUGGAAGGUCAGCUGUGAAAACUCGAGGCUCAACCUCGAGACGUCGGUUGAAACCACCUGGCUAGAGUCCGGAAGAGGAGAGUGGAAUUCCCGGUGUAGCGGUGAAAUGCGCAGAUAUCGGGAAGAACACACGUGGCGAAGGCGGCGCUCGGGGACGGUACUGACGCUGAGACGCGAAAGCGUGGGGAGCGAACAGG